This 484-nucleotide ribosomal RNA is filed under the name uncultured bacterium. RNAcentral describes it as "partial 16S ribosomal RNA". It matches the Rfam family "Bacterial small subunit ribosomal RNA", at positions 30 to 507 of the family's 1533-position model. The record is from RNAcentral.
AUUGAACGCUGGCGGCAGGCCUAACACAUGCAAGUCGAGCGGAUGAAGGGAGCUUGCUCCUGGAUUCAGCGGCGGACGGGUGAGUAAUGCCUAGGAAUCUGCCUGGUAGUGGGGGAUAACGUCCGGAAACGGGCGCUAAUACCGCAUACGUCCUGAGGGAGAAAGUGAGGGAUCUUCGGACCUCACGCUAUCAGAUGAGCCUAGGUCGGAUUAGCUAGUUGGUGGGGUAAAGGCCUACCAAGGCGACGAUCCGUAACUGGUCUGAGAGGAUGAUCAGUCACACUGGAACUGAGACACGGCCCAGACUCCUACGGGAGGCAGCAGUGGGGAAUAUUGGACAAUGGGCGAAAGCCUGAUCCAGCCAUGCCGCGUGUGUGAAGAAGGUCUUCGGAUUGUAAAGCACUUUAAGUUGGGAGGAAGGGCAGUAAGUUAAUACCUUGCUGUUUUGACGUUACCAACAGAAUAAGCACCGGCUAACUUCGUG